This 253-nucleotide ribosomal RNA is filed under the name uncultured bacterium. RNAcentral's name for it is "partial 16S ribosomal RNA". It matches the Rfam family "Bacterial small subunit ribosomal RNA", at positions 524 to 776 of the family's 1533-position model. The record is from RNAcentral.
UACGUAGGGUGCAAGCGUUAAUCGGAAUUACUGGGCGUAAAGCGUGCGCAGGCGGCUUUGCAAGACAGAUGUGAAAUCCCCGGGCUUAACCUGGGAAUUGCAUUUGUGACUGCACGGCUAGAGUUUGGCAGAGGGGGGUAGAAUUCCACGUGUAGCAGUGAAAUGCGUAGAUAUGUGGAGGAACACCGAUGGCGAAGGCAGCCCCCUGGGCUAGUACUGACGCUCAUGCACGAAAGCGUGGGGAGCAAACAGG